UGCCCCGUGGCUUAGUUGGUUACGGCGUCCGACUGUUAUUUACGACGACAUCGGAAGAUCGAGAGUUCAAGUCUCUCCGGGGCAG
RNAcentral lists this transfer RNA (85 nucleotides) under Agrocybe pediades. It matches the Rfam family "tRNA". From Rfam's summary of the family: Transfer RNA (tRNA) molecules are approximately 80 nucleotides in length. Their secondary structure includes four short double-helical elements and three loops (D, anti-codon, and T loops). Lineage: Eukaryota; Fungi; Basidiomycota; Agaricomycetes; Agaricales; Agrocybaceae. The record is from Rfam by way of RNAcentral.